CGCAGAGUAAUGAGGGGGGGUAAAAAUCAAAGACCCAUACCAAUUGAAAGUCUUACACAAUCUUAUGGGCUAGAAGCCAAUCUGUUUUUAGGUAGAACAAUGGUUUCUACCAGUCUCUUGUUUUGGUAACAAAUAGUACUGAUAUCAGGUUGUUUGCUUGUGAGCAUCUGAAAAUUGGCUCUUGUAUCUCAUUAACCUCAUUUAGGUGACCCAAAGAAAUGUGAAAUAAAUUAUAUGUGCAGUGUUGAGCAAUCCCUCAUUGUGAAAGGGUGGACAUCUGCAAGGAGAGGUUGAUAUUAGCUUGAAAAAUGGAGGAGGUUUUUAUUGCACAGAAGAUUUCUGAAUGCAGUUUUGUA
Molecule: non-coding RNA, 356 nt
Organism: Pseudonaja textilis
Lineage: Eukaryota; Metazoa; Chordata; Lepidosauria; Squamata; Elapidae
Source: RefSeq, a predicted model, not a curated record